Molecule: long non-coding RNA, 847 nt
Organism: Oncorhynchus masou masou (cherry salmon)
Lineage: Eukaryota; Metazoa; Chordata; Actinopteri; Salmoniformes; Salmonidae
Exons: 2
Source: RefSeq, a predicted model, not a curated record
UUUGGGCUUGAAGUUGUUGUAAACAUUCCCUCAAGAAUCUUAGUAGCUUUCUGGUUGUCUUUCUGAACCUGCUGUAUGGUUGCUGUAUGGUUCUUGUGCAUGGUCUCUUGUUGGACUAACUGAAGCGCCUUGACUUCUUUACUCAUUGCCUCAUUUCCAGGUUAAAGGGAUGGUUCACCACAAAAUCAAACUUUGUCAGAUGUUUUCAAAUUUUGUUUUCUAGUCUUCCCGGUUCUGACCUUUCUGUCUGUCCUGACCCUGAGCCCGCCUGCUGUUCUGUCCCUGAUUGACUCUGCCUUGGAUUACGAACCUCUGCCUGCUCUCGACCUGACCUUUGCCUGCCCCUUUGUUAGAAUAAUUCUCUGAAUAUUUAUUAUAUCUGCCUCCUGUGUCUGCAUCUAGGUCAUAUGCCUGAGUCGUGAUAGUACGAACUGGCCAUGACUGACCGAGCAGACCAGCUCUACAACACUGUCUCCUCACAAGGACCACCAUUGGAAGACACAAGUAGUUACUACAUAACCUUACGGAAUGAUUCCAUACCCUGGCAGAACACCAUGCCAAGUCAGUGCAUUGUUGGAACAUUUCCGCGGACUAUUAGGCAGCCAGCCUGUCCUCCGGAUUUCAUCCUCAAUCUAACGGCCAGUCGGACCCCAGCUCCCCGCUAUCGUCUCAUGCAGAGGGUAUGGCUCUCCACUCGGGGUCUGCCCCUCCGGGUGGAGUCCCGUAAACUUUCCGCCUGCUUUAUCGGCCCUUUCCACAUCUCCCACUGCUGUUUGUCUUCUGUCGCCCCACACCCUCCAUAUACAUCCCACUUUCCAUGUGUCGAGGAUUAAACCUCUGUCUCACA